RNAcentral lists this ribosomal RNA (501 nucleotides) under uncultured bacterium. RNAcentral's name for it is "partial 16S ribosomal RNA". It matches the Rfam family "Bacterial small subunit ribosomal RNA", at positions 30 to 523 of the family's 1533-position model. The record is from RNAcentral.
AUUGAACGCUGGCGGAAUGCUUUACACAUGCAAGUCGAACGGCAGCACGGGUGCUUGCACCUGGUGGCGAGUGGCGAACGGGUGAGUAAUACAUCGGAACGUACCCUGACGUGGGGGAUAACGUAGCGAAAGUUACGCUAAUACCGCAUACGUCCUGAGGGAGAAAGCAGGGGAUCGUAAGACCUUGCGCGUCAGGAGCGGCCGAUGGCGGAUUAGCUAGUUGGUAGGGUAAAGGCCUACCCAGGCGACGAUCCGUAGCGGGUCUGAGAGGACGACCCGCCACACUGGAACUGAGACACGGUCAGACUCCUACGGGAGGCAGCAGUGGGGAAUUUUGGACAAUGGGCGAAAGCCUGAUCCAGCCAUUCCGCGUGAGUGAAGAAGGCCUUCGGGUUGUAAAGCUCUUUCGGCAGGGAAGAAACGGUUUUGGAUAAUACCCAGAACUAAUGACGGUACCUGAAGAAGAAGCACCGGCUAACUACGUGCCAGCCGCCGCAGUAA